GGAUCAUUACUGAGUACUACACUCUCUACCCUUUGUGAACUAUUAUACCUGUUGCUUUGGCGGCGCCCGCGAGGGUGCCCGCCGGUCUCAUAAGAAUCUCUGUUUUGAACCCGACGAUACUUUGAGUGUUCUUAGAGAACUGUCAAAACUUUUAACAACGGAUCUCUUGGCUCCAGCAUCGAUGAAGAACGCACGACGAAACGCGAUAUGUAAUGUGAAUUGCAGAAUUCAGUGAAUCAUCUGAAUCUUUGAACGCACAUGGCGCCUUCCAGUAUCCUGGGAGGCAUGCCUGUCCGAGCGUCGUUUCAACCCUCGAGCCCCCGUGGCCCGGCGUUGGGGAUCUGCACGGCAGGCCCCUAAAACCAGUGGCGGACCGAAGGCCCUCUCCUUUGCGCAGAAGCAUCAGCCUCGCAUUGGGAUCCCUCGGCGUCCUGCCUCUAAACCCCCCACAAGAGCGCUCCGGCGGCACCAAGGUUGACCUCGGAUCAGUAGGAAUA
This 497-nucleotide unclassified non-coding RNA is filed under the name Plectosphaerella cucumerina. RNAcentral's name for it is "partial contains ITS1, 5.8S rRNA, ITS2". The stretch from base 147 to 303 matches the Rfam family "5.8S ribosomal RNA". The record is from RNAcentral. Lineage: Eukaryota; Fungi; Ascomycota; Sordariomycetes; Glomerellales; Plectosphaerellaceae.